AAGCACGAUUUUGUACUGAAAAACGUCAUAAGUAUAGUAUAUUCAAACUUGCAUUAUCAUUUAAUACAUUAUAAUUAUUUUAUUUGAGAUGCUUUUACACUUUUACUCCGUGUUGAAAAUAAAUCACAAUAAAUAUUAAAAGAUAAACAUUAAAACAUACAAAAUAAUAUUUGUCAGUAAUUUCUAAAUCCUUCAUUGAUCAUUUCACGUAAAUUAAUAUUUUCUUCUUUGAAUACCUACACUUAUAAAUUAUAUGCCAGAGACUAAUUACUAAGGGGGGUUUCUUAUUAAAUACAACUUAUAUGUAUAUACCCGUCCUAGCGAAAUCACGAUAUGCAUUUUCGCCACUGACGGUGACGCAACUAAAUAAUAUUAUUAUGAAAGUUACGGGCUCUGAAUAUUAUAAAUAUAAUUUUCCCUCUGUUUCUGAGAACGGUUUUAGAGUUGGCAACCCCGGACCGCGACGCGCCGCGAGCGACUGAAGGACUUGUAUCCAUGGUCUGGAAAUAAAUUAAAAAAAAAACGGCGGACGCCAAUGCCGCCAUCUUCUAUCGUGUCGUGCGUGCUGUGCUGCUGUGUGAACUUGGAAAUAAAUCCGCUAGCUGAAGCUAGCUGACCGGAUCGGAAAAAUGGUUCAGGGUUCUUUUUGUUGCCCCAUGCCCCAUCAUCUGCCGCCAUCCUGGACAAGUCGGCGAUCAAUAACAGGACCCGGCCUGCGAGCAAUGGCCAAUGAAGUCUAUCCCAGUGCCACGUCAUCAAGUCAUCACGCAGUCGUCGGGUGCAAAUGACGCGGCGGAUCUUUCUCAAGCUUAGAAAGAUGGUUGUGGCCCAGAGCCCCGCUACUUCGUGCCAGGCCAUUCUCCAACUGCAGAUCCAUGUGUCAUCGCGACAGUGCACUCACUCACCUUGUUUGGCCCGAUGGAAUUUGGUAUGUCACCUGAGGCGAGGAGUAGGUGCGUGUGCGAACGGCCUUAGUGACGCCUCUACAGCGCGACGGGUGUAUUCUCCUCAAAUAUGAGAAGGAGCUCGGGUCCUGCGGGCUCUUAACCGUCGUAGUAUUCACGCAGUGUUUUAAAAUAGUGUUUGUGUGUAUUAUGAUAACAUAUGUUCAAUUCAAAUGUCUAACACUACAUAAGUAUACAUAUCAUUUUUCAUUAGUAUGGUGCUGUUUUUGCGGUCUGAAGAAAAAACUUCAAAUAAAAUAAUUAUGUUGUCUGUA
Molecule: long non-coding RNA, 1219 nt
Organism: Leguminivora glycinivorella
Lineage: Eukaryota; Metazoa; Arthropoda; Insecta; Lepidoptera; Tortricidae
Exons: 4
Source: RefSeq, a predicted model, not a curated record